UGCAAGUCGAGCGGUACAGAGAUAGCUUGCUAUCUGCUGACGAGCGGCGGACGGGUGAGUAAUGCUUGGGAAUAUGCCUUAUGGUGGGGGACAACAGUUGGAAACGACUGCUAAUACCGCAUAACGUCUACGGACCAAAGGGGGGGAUCUUCGGACCUCUCGCCAUUUGAUUAGCCCAAGUGAGAUUAGCUAGUUGGUGAGGUAAUGGCUCACCAAGGCGACGAUCUCUAGCUGGUUUGAGAGGAUGAUCAGCCACACUGGGACUGAGACACGGCCCAGACUCCUACGGGAGGCAGCAGUGGGGAAUAUUGCACAAUGGGCGAAAGCCUGAUGCAGCCAUGCCGCGUGUGUGAAGAAGGCCUUCGGGUUGUAAAGCACUUUCAGUUGUGAGGAAAGGGGAGUAGUUAAUAGCUGCUUCCUGUGACGUUAACAACAGAAGAAGCACCGGCUAACUUCGUGCCAGCAGCCGCGGUAAUACGAGGGGUGCAAGCGUUAAUCGGAAUUACUGGGCGUAAAGCGUUCGUAGGCGGUCUAUUAAGCAAGAUGUGAAAGCCCAGGGCUCAACCUUGGAACUGCAUUUUGAACUGGUAGACUAGAGUACUGUAGAGGGUGGUGGAAUUUCCAGUGUAGCGGUGAAAUGCGUAGAGAUUGGAAGGAACAUCAGUGGCGAAGCGGCCACCUGGACAGAUACUGACGCUGAGGAACGAAAGCGUGGGGAGCGAACAGGAUU
This 730-nucleotide ribosomal RNA is filed under the name uncultured Colwellia sp. RNAcentral's name for it is "bacterial SSU rRNA". It matches the Rfam family "Bacterial small subunit ribosomal RNA", at positions 56 to 779 of the family's 1533-position model. Lineage: Bacteria; Pseudomonadati; Pseudomonadota; Gammaproteobacteria; Alteromonadales; Colwelliaceae. The record is from RNAcentral.